UAGUCAUAUGCUUGUCUCAAAGAUUAAGCCAUGCAUGUCUAAGUAUAAACUGCUUAUACUGUGAAACUGCGAAUGGCUCAUUAAAUCAGUUAUAGUUUAUUUGAUGGUACCACAUUACUCGGAUAACCGUAGUAAUUCUAGAGCUAAUACGUGCGCACAUCCCGACUUCUGGAAGGGACGUAUUUAUUAGAUAAAAGGCCAGCCAGGCGCAAGCCUGACCCUUGGCGACUCAUGAUAACUCCACGAAUCGCACGGCCUCCGUGCCGGCGAUGUUUCAU
RNAcentral lists this ribosomal RNA (278 nucleotides) under uncultured eukaryote. RNAcentral describes it as "partial 18S ribosomal RNA". It matches the Rfam family "Eukaryotic small subunit ribosomal RNA", at positions 21 to 298 of the family's 1831-position model. The record is from RNAcentral.